GUUUUUUUCUCUGUCGGCUUCAACUACCCGCCGUCCAGUUUGAAAUUUGUCAGCUUCACGCUCUUGCGCAUGCGUGGAGUUCUCCGUCUCGCUGUUGAUGACGUAUGACGUUGCGCUUAAUAUUUUACGUCGCUAGAGGGCAGAGCGCAACAACUCACCGCCACGUUAACAUCCACAGGUGUUUCUCGGUAAACGCUCUUCUUUUUAAGCUUGCAAUUGAAUGAAAACGGAUGUAAAGCCAGAAAGUUUCCACAAACUCAAUAUGAAGAGUCGAGACAGUACUCGUAGUUCAAUUUAAAUACAUUUUGACGGGUUUUCAACUGUGUUAAAGUAGUUUUUUGUACACAUUAGGGGCGUUGUGAACCACUUUAAGGCACUGUUUUCAUGCAGUUAAAGCAGUCACCGUCAAAAAACAAGGAGAAACAGCUUUGAAGCAACGCGUUCUCCUCCAUCCCUUGUCUGCUGGGCCUGUUUCUGGUCGGUUGGCUCACUAAUCCUUCCAUAUCUAAAACACAAGACAAAGAUGGCGCUACCUCAUGAAUGGAGCAUCAACAAGUGACAUCUACAACACAACAGAAAUGUCUGGAAGCCAGUGGCCACCACUUUGAGCACCUCUUGUAAUUGUAGAGGCCAAA
Amphiprion ocellaris (clown anemonefish) is the source of this 635-nucleotide long non-coding RNA. RefSeq lists it as uncharacterized. The record is from RefSeq and is a predicted model, not a curated record. The transcript has 3 exons. NCBI's taxonomy places the organism in Eukaryota, Metazoa, Chordata, Actinopteri, Pomacentridae.